UACCCAGGAGCUUGGGCAACCGGAUGCUACCUAAGAAGGAAGUAUCGAUGUUCUUAUGCUUUCCAGGAGGCCACUGGAGACUCCGCUGGUUAAAUCACCUUCCGUGCUGGGGUUUUUAUUUGGGGUAUCUCCCCAAGGAUCUCUUAGGCACACUCUUCAGAGGCGCUGUAAGAUGGCUAAGAAAAUUGAGUUUACUCCUCUCCCAUGACCUCACAAUUGUAAAUGAUACACGGCUGUCUGAAAAACAUGCCCCCCAACCCCAUUUUUUAAAAAAAGUGACUGACUGAAUUUUCCUCUUGCACACGUGAGAGCUCAAGCAAACAAGUUCACACGACCACAGCAGAGAGAUACUCUACGCUGCUUCUGGAACGAGGAACAAGAGGCGGAGGCGCCAUCACGCCCUGCCCGGGGGGACGCCGCACGCCAGCUGCGGAACGCCGUUCCCCAGACAACCCACCGCGGCAGCCCGGAACCGGAAGGCCUGGGCUGGAGUCCUGCUCCGCCACCGGCCCAAACCUCGGGCGGCUCCCUGAAGCCUCCCGCGCCUCAUCCGCGGAACAGGGUUACCACCAAGCGCCUUGAAGGGCACCGGAAGGCUGCCCCAGGGCGGGCGAGCUGCCCCGAUGGUUUCCUAGGGCCGCUGUAACAAGAUGCCACAGACGGGGCGGCUUCAAAGAACAGAAGUGUAUUAUCUUACACUUCCGGAGACUGCAGGCCCGAGAUCAAGGUGUGAGCAGGGCCGCCCUUUCUCCGGGUAGAAUCCUCUCUUCUUCUCUCCAGUAGUGGCUGCCAAUCCUUGGCACUCCUUGGCCUAGAGACGAGGCCCUCCAAUCUCGGCCUCCGCUGUCACAUGGUGCUCCGUGUUCAAACUUCCUUCUUCUGAGAGGGAUGCUGCUCCUGUUGGACUAGAGGCCCACCCUACUCUAUUAGGACCUUGGCCCACUUGACUAAUUACAUCAGCAGCCACCCUGUUUCCCAAUAACGUCACAUCCUGAGGUACCGGGGGCUAGAAUUUCAACACGUCUUUUGGAGGACACAGCUCGGCCGUGACACACUUGCAGGCUUAUCGGAGUGGUGGCUGCCCUCUGUGCCUCCUGUCAAUCUGUGGCUGAGGGGAGGAAACUGCCCACCAGGCCCGUUCGGUGGUUAAUAUGCUGGAGAAGUGCCCACGGUGACAGGAACAGCUUCUUCUCUUGCGGUUUUUCCUAAAAGGGGGAUUGGUUUUAUGAAAAAUGCUGUGGUUUUCAUCAGGAAGUGCCCCUAGCUAGAGCCCGCGGGACGGAGCAUUGCUCCAGCGGCAGUUAAACUGAGAGAAAUUCUUGGCUUUGUCAGGAAGGGCAGAUUUGCUGUGGGCCACAGAGGAUGUGCUUGUAUGGUUUUGUACAACACUCCUUGGGCCACCUAUUUGCAACAGCACCUAAGUCUGGAUGAUAGAAGAAACGAAGAAGAAAGAAGCGGGGGACUGAGUCCCUAUCCUUCCAUGUUCUUCCCUAGAGGAAUUCUGCCACAACUGGGGUGUUGGUGCAGAGCGGAGAACUCUCCUCUAGAAUCCCAGCUUCCUGACCAAGAAGACCAGGUGUAACGCUGACCUCAGAGAAAGAUGGACGUUGAGCAGUUCUCACUGCACCUGCUGCACCCACGCACAGUAAGGAACAGAGUCUGGGGCCCAACCAAUUAGCUCCUGAUGCAUCUAAUCGGCUACACCUUUGAAGACAGUGUUCUUUCUUCAUCUAUGUCAGGAGUUGACAACAAGAUGCUUAUGGCGUCAGGCAUGCAAGAUGAAUGAAUGAAGUUUGGGGUGGGGGGUGGAGGCCUAUAGCAAAUUGGAGAACAUCUGCUGCAUCUAAAGGGGGCAGAUGCUACUCAGCUUUAGCCAACUGUUGCCAGAUCAGGAAAUCCCUGAAUUUUAAAUGAUAGCAAAAGAAUUUUGUUUUAAAGAAGUAACAGGUCCAAAGAUACCCACAGGUCACUGUGUGAAGCCUUGGCCCUGAAGCCUGUCUCUAAACUUUAGGCAGGUGAUACCACCUUGUAGUAUACAGAGUUGACUCUCUUUCCUGAAAACACUCAUUAUGGCAGCCAGAGGUGUGGGUGGGUGGGUUUUUGGAGAGGAGACAAGGAAACAAGCAGCCACAUGACCCUGAAUAGAGCAGUACAAGAGGGGAAAAAAAAGGCUUGGUGUUUGGAAGUAGAUGAACACUGUAUUAUUCAAGACAGGUUCAGCCUGGGGCAGAAAUAGAAAAUAAGUCCUUGCCAUGUCCCUAUUCAGACUAAAUUGAACUUGAUGGUAUCCUGUCACAAGACACCUUUGAUGGAAAUGAAGAUGAUAAUCACUGAUGCCAUCCAGCAUGGUGAUUGAUAAUGUUCUCUCCUCCAAAUCUCAACAGUGUCCUUGAAUCCCAGCGAGGUGCCUGGCUUGGGCCCAACAGUCAGACUCUGGAUCCAGAGGAAGGAGCCCUAGGCUCAGUGGGUACCCCUGCUCCCAGUUUACACCCCGUAAAUACUUAUAACUUGCCUUUUGCACCAUGACCCAUUAUAUGCUCCUUGAUGGAGAACCAUGUUGUGCUCGUCCUUGAAACCCUGGCAUCCUCUGUGCCAAAGCUCAGCAGAGGAUUCGACCGGCUAAUGCAAUACUGUGUGUGGUACCCAGCAGGCCUCAAUGUUUGCUGAGCCAGCACGGGGAAAUCAGCACUUAUGGAACAUCCAUGCACCAGGUGCUUUAUCCCACUUGAUGUUUGUAAUAAAACCAGGAGGCACUGUUAUUAUCCCCCUUGUACAGAUAAAACAAAACUUUUAAAACCA
This is a long non-coding RNA of Felis catus (domestic cat), 2799 nucleotides long. RefSeq lists it as uncharacterized. The transcript has 2 exons. The record is from RefSeq and is a predicted model, not a curated record. NCBI's taxonomy places the organism in Eukaryota, Metazoa, Chordata, Mammalia, Carnivora, Felidae.